This 460-nucleotide ribosomal RNA is filed under the name uncultured bacterium. RNAcentral describes it as "partial 16S ribosomal RNA". It matches the Rfam family "Bacterial small subunit ribosomal RNA", at positions 338 to 795 of the family's 1533-position model. The record is from RNAcentral.
CCUACGGGAGGCAGCAGUGAGGAAUAUUGGUCAAUGGGCGAGAGCCUGAACCAGCCAAGUCGCGUGAGGGAAGACGGUCCUAUGGAUUGUAAACCUCUUUAGGCGGGGAGCAAUGCCGAGCACGCGUGCCCGGAGGGAGAGUACCCGCCGAAUAAGCAUCGGCUAACACCGUGCAAGCAGCCGCGGUAGUACGGAGGAUGCGAGCGUUAUCCGGAUUUAUUGGGUUUACAGGGUGCGCAGGCGGAUUUUAAAGUCAGCGGUAAAAUGUCCGGGCUCAACCCGGGCCGGCCGUUGAAACUGGGGAUCUUGAGUGGGCGAGAAGUAUGCGGAAUGCGUGGUGUAGCGGUGAAAUGCAUAGAUAUCACGCAGAGCUCCGAUUGCGAAGGCAGCAUACCGGCGCCCGACUGACGCUGAGGCACGAAAGCGUGGGUAUCGAACAGGAGUAGAUACCCUAGUAGUC